CCUACGGGAGGCAGCAGUGAGGAAUAUUGGUCAAUGGACGCAAGUCUGAACCAGCCAUGCCGCGUGCAGGAAGACGGCUCUAUGAGUUGUAAACUGCUUUUGUACGAGGGUAAAUCCCGAUACGUGUAUGUUGUUGUAUGUAUCGUACGUAUACGGAUCGGCUAACUCCGUGCCAGCAGCCGCGGUAAUACGGAGGAUGCGAGCGUUGUCCGGAUUUGUUGGGUUUAAAGGGUUCGCAGGCGGUCUUGUAAGUCAGCGGUGAAAUCCCGGGGCUCAACCCCGGCCGCGCCGUGGAAACUGGCAGUCUCGAGUGGGAGAGAGGUAUGCGGAACGCGCGGUGUAGCGGUGAAAUGCAUAGAUAUCGCGCAGAACUCCGAUUGCGAAGGCAGCACGCCGG
RNAcentral lists this ribosomal RNA (397 nucleotides) under uncultured bacterium. Its description in RNAcentral is "partial 16S ribosomal RNA". It matches the Rfam family "Bacterial small subunit ribosomal RNA", at positions 338 to 732 of the family's 1533-position model. The record is from RNAcentral.